RNAcentral lists this ribosomal RNA (444 nucleotides) under Bacillus sp. R-41787. Its description in RNAcentral is "bacterial SSU rRNA". It matches the Rfam family "Bacterial small subunit ribosomal RNA", at positions 28 to 460 of the family's 1533-position model. The record is from RNAcentral. RNAcentral also lists the same sequence under 2 other names. Lineage: Bacteria; Bacillati; Bacillota; Bacilli; Caryophanales; Bacillaceae.
GAUGAACGCUGGCGGCGUGCCUAAUACAUGCAAGUCGAGCGAAUGGAUUAAGAGCUUGCUCUUAUGAAGUUAGCGGCGGACGGGUGAGUAACACGUGGGUAACCUACCCAUAAGACUGGGAUAACUCCGGGAAACCGGGGCUAAUACCGGAUAAUAUUUUGAACUGCAUAGUUCGAAAUUGAAAGGCGGCUUCGGCUGUCACUUAUGGAUGGACCCGCGUCGCAUUAGCUAGUUGGUGAGGUAACGGCUCACCAAGGCGACGAUGCGUAGCCGACCUGAGAGGGUGAUCGGCCACACUGGGACUGAGACACGGCCCAGACUCCUACGGGAGGCAGCAGUAGGGAAUCUUCCGCAAUGGACGAAAGUCUGACGGAGCAACGCCGCGUGAGUGAUGAAGGCUUUCGGGUCGUAAAACUCUGUUGUUAGGGAAGAACAAGUGCUAGU